AAAUAGCCCUGAUCAAAACGGCAUCCUUUUUUAUUUUUCAGCUCGGGAAAUGCACGGCGGAAAAUAAAAAAGAUAAAGGACUUCGAUAAGCUCAGGAUAAAUU
This 103-nucleotide small RNA is filed under the name Kaistella antarctica. Its description in RNAcentral is "Chryseobacterium antarcticum Flavo-1 RNA". Lineage: Bacteria; Pseudomonadati; Bacteroidota; Flavobacteriia; Flavobacteriales; Weeksellaceae. The record is from RNAcentral.